RNAcentral lists this long non-coding RNA (650 nucleotides) under Zea mays. Its description in RNAcentral is "long non-coding RNA (ZMAY_LNC004992)". The record is from RNAcentral. Lineage: Eukaryota; Viridiplantae; Streptophyta; Magnoliopsida; Poales; Poaceae.
CACGAGUAGCACGACGGACACAAAAAUCAGCCAACUUCUAUGGAAACUUAGCAAAGCAGUUCUCAGACCGAUGAGUGGUCUUUUUGCAAUGUUCACAAGGCUGAAAGGAGGUGUUCCUGGACCUCUGAGCAGCAGCCAACACACUGUGAGAACUCACACCAGUAAUAGAAGACAUAGACUUCAGACGAGUCUAUGCAGCAAGCAAUUCAGACAAUGCAUGAGCCAUGGUGAGAGUAUCUAAACUGUGAUUCUGUGAAGCAGCCUUGCACGAAGAGAAUCAAAUUCAGGUCGAACUCCCAUAACAAAUCAGUAGGUAAAAACUUCUCAAUGAACUUAUGGGUUGGGCAAGGCACAGUUGUACAUGCGGGCAACAUGGAGGUCAAUGCACUCAUAAGACGAUCAAAGGCUGGAUAAUAUUCAUCAAUGAACAUAUCAUGUUGCUCAAUGACAUGAGUCUGCUGCAUAAGAGUAUGUAAAAGAGCACCGCUAUCCUGAACAAACCGAUCCUUCAGAUGUGACCAGAUAGCCUUAGCAGUGGUGAAUUUGGACAGACUCAUAAUCAUAGUUGGUUUAGUGUUGUUUGCAGCCAUUACCUUGCCAUCAUUGAUCUGCCAAGUCUUGAUUGCAGCAACAUUGCUUCUAUCAACUGC